Molecule: ribosomal RNA, 600 nt
Filed under: uncultured bacterium
Lineage: Bacteria
Description: partial 16S ribosomal RNA
Rfam family: Bacterial small subunit ribosomal RNA
Source: RNAcentral
GAAUGCAGUCGAGGGGAUACAGUGNAACGACUGUAUACGAUACGCCUACGGGAAGCGGACUUCGGGCUGCGCAUGAUUGCCGUGGAUACUAUUAGUGGUAACGUCACUAGGAGAUCCUACUGGUCUGAAAGAUACACAAUGACUGAAACCGUCAAACUCUACGGAGGCACAGUGGGGAAUAUUGCCCAAUGGGCGCAAGCCUGAUGCAGCCAUGCCGGUGUAUAAAGAAGGCUUCGGGUGUAAAGUACUUCAGCGGGGAGGAAGGUGUUGGGUUAAUAACACAGAAUUGAGUUACCGAGAAGAAGCAACCGGUUAACUCGUGCCAAGCAGCCGGGUAAUACGGAGGGUGCACCGUAUUCGGAAUUACUGGCGUUAAGCGCCACGCAGGCGGUCUGUCAAAGUUCGGAUGUGAAAUCCCCGGGCUCCAAACCCUGGGAAAAACUGGGAUUCCCGAAAACUGGGAAAGGCUUAAAAAGUCCUUGUACAGGGGGGGGGUUACAAAAUUCCCCAGGGUGGUUAAGCCGGGUCGAAAAUUGCCGUCAAAGAAUACUGGAAAGGAAANUUACACCGGUUGGCGAAUGGGCGGCCCCCCCCUUGGUC